UUGUGAAAUAAGGAUGGGAAGUCAGAUUACCAACAAAACCAACCACCUUAACAGAACCUGGUUAAUUUGCACCCACAAUAACCUUGUUAGUUUUGAGACGCUUAACAGAUAGAAAAUCGCAUAUUGGGAUGCAAUGUAACUAAACAGUUAAACGUUUCUACUACGUGUUUGAACGAGUUUCAUGUUCAUCCCGACAUUAAUUAACCUUUUUUUUUUUCAAUAAGCACCUCUUUUCUUCAUUUUCUGCCUCUCUUUAAUCACUCUUGAUUUUUUUCAUUUCGUUUUUGUCGCUUUUUUUUUGGCAUCCUUUUUAUUUUUUGUUUUCAUCACUCUUUUAUUUUUUGUCACUUUCUUUUUUUCUUUUUUUUGUCACUCUUUUCUUUUCUUUUCUUUUCUUUUCACUCAAUUUUUUUUCUCUUUCUUUUUUUCAGUUUAUUUUUCACUCAAUUAAUUUUAUGACUAUGAUCGAAUCCGAUGGGGAUUGCCUACGUAUCAUGAUGCUGCAUGAAUCAGGUCUUGCGUAGUUCGGGAAGAUUGAGAAUGGAGUAAAUAAACUAACUCUUUUUUUGUCUUUUUUAGUUUUUGUAUAACACUCGGACCAUGAAAGUGUUUAGAAUAAGAAUAUAUAUAUAUAUAUAUAUAUAUAUAUAUAUAUAUAUAUAUAUAUUCCCUUUAUUUUCCUCGAAAGAAAAGCUUGCACUUCAGAGAUUCAGGUUAAUUUUUAUAUGUCUUCAAUUAAUGUGGACUUAUUGUUAUGUUUUAUUUCUGCCUUACAUACUCAGUACAUUAUUCGUACUGACGUCCUUUUAUUUGGGACAUUGCAUUCAUGUCUGCAGGUAUAGAUAAUCAGUUUGACGAACCCUCAUAAUAGAUGAGAUUGGCAUUCAGCAAAGGAUCGGCAAGACUCUACCUCAUUCGGAGUGCAGCCGAGUCUAUGAGUCAUCUUUUCAACGUUUUGCUACAGACUUAUUUGUACGCUGGUACCCUGUCCUAUUUGAUGUCAAAUAACCUUAGAGACUUUGUAGGUAGAGAUUUAGUUUGGACUUUAUGUCAAAGGCCUUGAUGGCCCAUAUGUAUUCAUGUCUUAAGAACGAUAGUUUAUUGAUACAGUGUUGCCCACUUACAAUUGUACAUUACGAGUUAUGGCCAUGUUGGCCCAUGAUAGUCACAAAAGGAAUGAAUGAGUUACAAAGUGGUUCGCUCGGGCAAGUGCUGUACUAGGUGCCAGCCACGCCUCACGAGGUUGAGGUGUGACAAUCUUCUCCUUUGGAGAUACCAUUUUGGAAGACUGAGAAAACACCCCCAAGGAGAUGGCGCUCGAAGAAACUGCCAUCGAGGAUGCACCCUCGAGAAUAGAUUAGGCUCUUGGCUUUUACUAUAUGUAUACUUUUGCUUCUUUUUUUCUGUGUAAGGACCCCUCAUGGGAUUUUGUAAUCAUAUGUAAGAAUCCCUCGUAGGCUUUGUAAUCAUGUGCUUAUGAAUAUAAAGAUGUUUCUUCAAUUUGUCUCUGAUGUAUGCUAUAUUUUCCUUUAUCUACGUUUGUGAAGAAUCUGAAUACAUGACUCCAUUGAUUGGUGCAAAUAUCGAGCUCGAGUGUGAGUAUUUUUCUGACCUUUGAUUGAUUGGCGCAGCUCCCCGCGGAACCCUUUGUCUUUCCUUGUACCGAGCCUGGAUUGGAUUGGUAAACUUGGGUCGUCGGGACCCUGACUUCGAGCUGAAUGAGAAUAAGGCUUCAAACUCUCAAAAUGAGACUUAGCAUUUAGACCCUACGAUAAUCGUCAAGGGGGAUUUGCUUGGAAGUUCGAGAAUAGAGACUGUCUUUAGGCUUUCGAGAACAGUCCCCGAGUGGGGGUUUGCUCAAACUCGGGCCACCUAGAAACUUGUUUUGAAUUUAGUGUAGAUAGUCUCAAGGCAUGGUAGAUAGAUCUUAGAUGAGGGUUUACCCGAGUUUAGAUGGUACGUCGAAGCCAAACCUAUAUGAGUAGAGUUUUAGCGCUUGUUUUCUUUUUGAGAGAAGCCCUCGAGAUCGUGUACCAUCUCGGGACUUGCGAUGAUGCCGAUGGCUUCCUGGAGCCUAUCUUCUUUUUUAUGGAGGUCCUUGAGAUUGGGUACCAUCUCGGGACUUGGUUGAUGCGGGGUCUUCAACCCCGAAACAUCGUAUGGUGGCAUCGAGUGUAUGAUACGGUUACGAGGUGACCGAGGUGAUUCCACCGGCAUCUUUCCAAAGCGAUAAAAGCUUUAGCCGAUAUUUUUAAUCGUCCUUUGAGGCAUGCAGGUGGUCGCAACUUUUUCCACAUAUAGGGUUGUCUUCGCCCUUUUGGAGAUUCUGUUAUUCUGAAUAGUUAUCCGAUUUCAUAGAGUUCUCCUUUCUUGCGCCAAUUUUCCUUUAACUCAAAGCUUUUCAUUUCCCCUUUCUUUGUUUUACCAUAGCCAUAGAUGCUAUGCCUGAAUCCGUUUGGUAAGGGGAAGGGAGCUCUGCCUCUAGGCACUUUGCUUCGGGAGGGAAUCUCCCGUCAGAAGAUACCCCCAACGUUCGAGGUUAUCGGGAAUAUGCUUCGAAGUUCAUUUCUUUAAUAGGAGAUGAGCACCUUGAGUUGGUGAGGAAGGACUGUGGAUUGGGAUAAAAGGUAGCAUUUCGGGUACCUUCCCCGGAGAAGAGCGUCAUGGACCAUGCCAAGGGAUUUUUAAACGUAUACACGUACCCCUUUACGCUGGGCCCCGUUGAUAGGGUUAUGCUCGACUUCUGUCGAAAGUACCAGGUUACCUUGGUGUAGAUUCACCCAUCAUUUUGGCGGAUAGUAUUGAUGAUGAGGUUCUUUGUGGAAGACUCAGGUCUUGAAUUCACUCUUAAUCACCUCAUCAGGUUGUAUUGGCCCUUUCAUCGUCGAGGCAUGUUGACCCUGCAAUGCCGAUCCACUACGCCUUUCAUUGUUGACGAUGAAAAAGAUGGAGAUCAGGGGUGGAUGAGCCGAUUCGUCCAUAUACGGACCAUCGAUAUUAUUCCAGUGGAGUUUCUGCCAUUUCCUGAGGAAUGGAAUUUUACACGUAAGUGGUAUACUCGUGCCUUCUUAGUUUUGUUUGUGGUGAAAGCUGGCUUCAUAAAUAUGCCUUCUUUUCUUUUUCUACAACGAUUUUGUGGAUGCCAGGCAAGGUUCUCGAUCUGUCUGAUUGGGUUCGAAAGUUGGCGACCCACUCGACUUACAAUUAGCAUAAGUGGCGAGCUUUAUCUAAAGAUAUGUGGGAGGCAAAACACCAUGGUAUGUGCUAUGUGAUUUGCUCCCCCCCCCCCUCUUUCGGACGGGCGCUUUUUCUUUCUGCAUACUAACUCUGUCAUCAUAGGCAUUGGGGAGUCCCUCAAAACAAGGUAAUGCCUUUUAGCAGAGGGAGAAUGAUUGCCAGCUUCCGGGCUAAAGAAUGAUAACAACAAACAAGAAAUGCCUUUGUAGGGCGGCGAUGCUCAAAGCAAGACUAGCCCAGACCGGGGGCUCAGAGAGGAUGUAUUGUCUGAGCCUUCUUCACCCGCGAUUUUUGGUUUUGGAAAGGCGAUUUUUCCUCCGUUGCCGUCUUCUUUUUCCGUCGAAGGUACUUCGAGGGAUACUCAAAACCCGAGAUCGUAUACACUGAAAGACUGUAUCCUAACCAGGGUCGGCUCUUCUGGGUCUAAGGGAGCCAUACUAGCAGAUGUGUGUUCGACCUUCGAGGAAGCUCAGCAGCUUCACUCGGUGGUGAGUUUUGGCACUGGCCCUUUGAGUUUCACGCCUUCCCUUUCUUAUUGAGUUUUCUUUUGCAGGCCUUUGACAAGCUUAAGUCAUAGCUGCUUCACCGUGAGGCCAAGCUACGGAAGGCUUUGGAUGGGGAGAAAUCCCUUAGGAUCCUUUAGGAUGAAAGGGAAGUCAAGUUUUCACGCUUACGGUACGAGACGAGUCGGAGCUUGAAUUAUGAGAGCUACCUGAAGGGGCAGGUAGUUUUUGUUCCGAGGGAGUGUGUGUUCCUUUUUCUAGCUCCUGAAGCUCAUGUUUCGUUUAUUUUAGUUGCAGAAAAAGAGGGAGGACCUGAAGCGCCUUCGGAACGAAAUUGGCUGAGCCAAGCGCGAGUAUGAUGAGUUAAAGGCUCAGGCGGACGCUCAGGCUUUGGCGGAGAAGGGUGCUCUGGCUAAAGCUUCCUCCCUUAAGGUUUAACUUUGCUUAGCUCGUGAUAAUAGCAUGGUUCGAAUAGAUAUGAUUACAAAGCUCGAGUCUGAGCUUUUGAAGAUAAAGGUCGAGGUUGUGGAUGCCCGGACUGAAGCUGUAAUGAGCCAAACUAAGGUUGACCAGAAAGUGACAGUCUAUUUGAAGGACACUGCCAAUGCUCAAGCUGAGCUGAGAAGGACUUUAACCGAGAGGGUAGGAGCAAGGAAUAUGCUCAGUGUAAGUCUCGAAGGGAAACCUUCGAGAAGAUCCAUGCUAGGGGCUUUGACCUCUCGGAAGAGGUGAAGCGGGCGAGGGCGGACGAACGUGGCACUAAGUCACUUCUGUCCGACGUCGAGGAUAGCGAGGAUGAGGUCGAUGGGCCAUAGUCAAGGGGGACGUAGAUUUCCUUUUCUGAUUCUGUACAUAGUACUUUCGAAGUAUGUUGUAAAUGGAGCUUGUAUUUUUCCGCAUAUAUAUAUAAAAGGAAAGCUUCGCAGUUUAAUUUCUACUGCAUUUCUUUUUGCCUUGAUAUUUUCCAUAUGAACUGGUUUUAGAAGGAAUCCUUAGAUUCGUGGUAUGGCCCUGAGGCUCAUUAAGCUGGCCCGUAGGCUCUUACGCGCUUGGUCGAUACGACCUUUCAGCAUAAUCCGGCGUUCGAGCUCUUAUGCUUGUGUUCUUAGGCGUGUUUGGUCAACUAUUUUGGGUUCAGUCUCCGAGUCGGAUAUCAACUCGAGCUUAUUCUAUGAUGACCCGAAAUCCACUAAUUGUCGUGAUGGCGCCGGACACCGUUGUCAGGCAAGCCAACCAAAAUACUUAAUUAAAUUCCAAUUUUAGUAUUUGCUGAAAUCAUUUUUUUUCUUUAUACAUUAAUUAACAAAUAAUAAAAUUUACAAAAAUAACCAUGAAGUCUUUAACAAACUUAAUAUUGAAUAAUCCAAGAAUCACCCCAGAACCCGGUGUCACAAAUGCAUGAGAAAGUUCUAAGAAGUAAUAUAAUACAACAACAGUCCGGAAUACAAUGUUGGACAGAAACUAAAUACAGUAAUCUAAAAGAGACUUGCUGGUUGUGGGUCGUCUCGAGAAAUUCAGCUCACCUAAGUCUUUGUAUUGAUCAUGCUGUUACGCCCACUAGGCCACUAGUGAUGCAUGUGCAUGUGCAACAAAAAUGCACAGAAAUGUAGUAUGAGUACAAAAAUAACGUGUACCCAAUGAGUAUCCCAUCUAAUCUCAAAGAAGUAGAGAAGAGAUGAUCGACUUCGACACUUACUAAUGGUCCAAUAAUGAUAUACUAUUAAUGUGAAUAAUCAUGGAUUUAUUAAGAAUGACAGUAAUUUCAAGUAAGUCACGAACAGGUGAAAGUUCCUUUUUAUAUUAAAAGUCUCCGGAUUCAUAAUCAAUUAGUUUAAAUUAUCUCAAGUCGGAGAGGGAAAAUAUCAAUGUCAAUAAAUCUCAAGGCAAGCAAUACAAGCAUGCGCAAAUCAUGUCGAUAUCGUACGGCCCGAUCCAACAGAAAUGUAAAAUGUGCACUGUCGAGGGUCGAACGCCGCGAACCAUAGAUACAUCUAUUACCUUGCUCGCGCAUCAUACAUGCGACGCGGUCAACAUAAAUAAACAACUAGCCCGCUCGCGAAUCAUACAUGCGACGCGGGCACACAUAGAUACACACAGUCAAACAGCCAAUUAAGAGUUUAUCGGGAAAUGUUUAUUCCAAUAAAAUCCAAUUCUCUUUUAAUGAUUUAAGAAAAAUGAAGCUUAAUCUGUUUAGAAAUUCAUUUACUAAUUCGAUGUGAUUUAAGCAAUUCAAGAUGUCAAUAAGUUUACAAAUAAUCCAAGUAUAGCAUGUUUUUGGGUCCUAGACUACCCGGACAAUAGCAUAAUAGUAUCUAUGCACGGACUCUCGUCACCUCGUGCAUACAUAGCCCCCACAAAUAGUAGCACAUAACCAAUUAACUCACCUAUGGGGACAAUUCCCUCUUACAAGGUUAGAAAGGAGACUCACCUCGCUCCGAAGAUCCAUAACCGGCAUUCCACGCUCUUCCGAAGACUCAAAUUGAUGCACGACGCUCCAAAACUAGCCAAUAAUAAUACCAAUCCAUCAAUAUAUACUCAAUUACCCCUAAUGAUCCAAUUUAUAACAACCCCUAACCCCGAUCGAAAAGUUGACAAAUACGACCUUGGGCCCACGUGCCCGGAUUCCAAAAAAUUUCGAAGAUAAACUUUAACCAUAACCUCAUGAACUCAAAUAUAUAAUUUACUCUCAAUUUAAUACCCAAAAUCAUGGUCAAAUUCCAAGAAUAUUAAUUUUCUAGGUUUUCCCUCAAACCCCAAGUUUUCUACAAAUUUCAUGCUCAAAUCCGUACAUAAUCAAUGUAUUUAACUCAAGAUAGGUGGGGAUAGCUUACCUUAUCAUUGAUGAUGAAAAUCCCCUCUUGAAGCCCUCCAAAAUCGCCCAAAGUAGAGAAAAAUGGGUGAAAUGAACUCAACCCCGCUUUUUAAAACAUUCUACCCAGCGACUUCCGCACCUGCGGACCCUUGACAGCUUCUGCGGUUCUGCAGGUGCGGCACUUCUACCGCUUCUGCAGUUCUGCAGGUGCGGCACUUCUAUCGCUUCUGCAGAUAUCUCACCAGGCCCUCCCCUCCGCUUCUGUGAUUCAACCGCCCAGGUGCGGUUCUGCUUCUUCAGCUUCUCCACCACAUCUGCGGUCCCCUUCACGUUGGUCCAAACCGCAUCUGCAGCUCCUCUAGCCGCUUCUGCGGUUCCGCACCUGCGGCCCAAUUCUCGCAGGUGCGCUUAUGACAGCAACCAACAACUUUAGCCUUCCAAAAAUUCCAUUUUCGAUCUGUUAACCACCCGGAAUCCACCCGAGGCCUCCGGGACCCCAACCAGUCCCAAAAUACAUUAUGGACUUGCUCGAGGUCUCAAAUCAUAUCAAACAACGCUAAAAUCACGAAUCGACCUCCAAUCCAAGCUUUAUGAACUUUAGAAUUUCAAACUUCUACUUUCGAUGUUUAAACCUAUCUAUUCACGUCCGAUUGACCCCAAAUUUUGCACACAAGCCAUAUUUGACGUUACGGACCUGCUCCAACUUCCGGAAUUAGAUUCUGAUCCCAAUAUCAAAAAGUCCACUUCCGGUCAAACUUUCUCAAAAACCUUCAAUUUUCUAUCUUUAGCCAAAUGGCUCCAAAAUGACCUACGGACCUCCGAAUUCACUUCCGAUCGCGCUCCCAAUUCCAGAAUCAUCAUACGGAGCUACUCCAAGACUCAGAAUCCCAAACGGACGUCGAUAAUACUAAAAUGCACUUCAAGCCAAAGUUAUGAAAUUUCUUCCAAAAUGCUAACUUCCACAAUAGGUGCCAAAAUGCUCCCAGGUCAUCCAAAACUCGAUCCGGGCAUACUUCCAAGUCCGAAAUUAUCAUACGAACCUGCUGGAACCUUCAGAUCCCGAUUCCGAGGUUGUUUACUCUGAAAUCCAAUCUUAGUUAAUUCUUCCAACUUAAAGCUUCCGAAAUGAGAAUUCUCUUUCCAAAUCAACUCUGAACUUCCCAAAAUUCAAUUCUGACCACACGUACAAGUCAUAAUACCUGAAAUAAAGUUGCUCAUGGCCUCAGACUGCUGAACGACAUGCUAGAGAUCAAAACGACCGAUCGGGUCGUUACACAUUCGACCCUCAAGUUUUUUGAAUUGCAAGCUGGACCUUAGGCUCUUACGCACCAGUUCGGUGAAACCUCCAAUUUUAGCACUAGCGACAAUGGCUCUUAUGCAUUUGGUUGGUGCAACCUUCAAUUUUAGUGCUGGCAACAGUGGCUCUUACGCUUUUGCUCUUAGGCAUAUUUAGUUAACUAUUAUGGGUUCAGUCUCCGAAUCGGGUUUCAACUCGAGCUCAUUCGACCCUCAAGUUUUUAAACUUCAAAAUGGACCUUAGGCUCUUACGUGUUGGGUCAGUACAACUUUUAUGUGGGCUGGUAAUAGUGGCUCUUAUGCCUUGGGUCGAUGAGACCUCUUAUGUGGGCUGGCGACAGUUGCUCUUACUCCUUGGGUCGAUGCGACCUUUUAUGUGGGCUAGACAAUGGCUCUUACGCCUUGGGUCGAUGCGACCUUUUAUGUAGGCUUUCUUUUUCCCUCGUUAAGGAUUAGUUUGCCUGACUCUUCAACGGUUUAAUAAAAAAACCUCGAUUGUGAGUCAUUAUAUGGCAAUGAUCGAGCACCUUGGGAGGUUUGGCUCGGAGGCUGAGUAUUUUGAAACCCGUGUUUAGGAGCUGGCAUAGUCGAAGCUCUUUUGCCUAUGUCGAGGGUAGCCUAUUUAACGAGUUCUUUUCGAAGUAUAUUCGAUGUAAUUGAAGGCAUGUGAUUUUAUAGCGACGGUCGGGCGUCCUCGAGUCGCGUUAGUUUGGCUGGUACAGCCUUAUGACCGUAGUCAUUUGUGUUUGGCAGAGCCUUUAAGUCCAGAAUGAAGUAGUUUCGGCGUAUAUAUUGAGGGUAUGCCUUUUUAGGGGUCUUACAAGUUCGAUAUAUAGCCUUAGCUUUGAGAUCGGGUUUAUGCCGUUAGUAAGGUCUUACAAGUUUUACAUGCCUUUGAGGUCUUACAGUUUUGGAUACUUCGUACAAGUAUGGUUCAUGCCUUGCUUGAGGUCUUAUAGAUAUUAUUGUUGCCUUAUACAGGUCUUACGAGACCGAGGCUAUCCGCAUGUGGUCUUAUGGCCUCGGGCUUUGAUAAGUUGAUGGAGAAGUCUAUUGACGACAGUACCCGAGUCAUCGGGGAUUUCUUGGCUCAAGAGCCAUUACUUAUAAACUUGGUAUUGCCUCAUCAAGGGCUUAAGAUUUCGGAGUUUCCAACCCGAAGGUCACGUGGCCUUGAGUUUUCGAUGCCAGUCCCCGCGUGUUCAGGACGUUUUUGGCUCUGGAGUUCUUUUGUGAUCUCGUUGUUGCCUCAUUGCGGGUUCACGAGUUUGAAGCUCUAACCUGGGGAUCGUACUGUUCCGAGUUGUUGAUGCCAGUCCCCGAGUAUUCGGGAUGUUUUUUGGCUCUAGGACCAUUUUUUGCAAAAAUGUCGAGCUUCCUUGAAACGUAAAAUGCUUUUAGGAAGUAUUCUUUGAUUACUUGGUACAAGUAUACUUGCCUUUGUUGUUAGGGUCUCGGUUGUAUUAUGCGAACACGGUUCGUUUGACUGUUUGGCCCGCUACAUUAUUUUCCUAUCAAGAUCCCACUUAGCGUUUCUAGGCUUCUCCGAGUAGGUGACCUUCCGAGGGGAUGCCCCUCAGUGUUUGAGGUUGAUUGCAAAAGAAGCCUUGAAUACUUGUUGAGUCUUCCUUAGGUAGCAUAUGGAUGUUGCCUUGUUAAAAACCUUGUAGGUAAAACCGUUCUUGGGAUAAAAACUCGGUCGAAGGAAAAGAGUGCAACGCAUGCUUUUUGAAACCUAAGGCCUUUGAGUUAGAAAGUGCUUUGGCCAUUUCAAUCGGAUACCUACGUUCAAGUUAGUGUAGAAUUUAAUUGAAAAAAAAGAGGCUGUCAUACCUUAGUGUAGGAUGUGCCGGUGGUGUUUUGAUCCCUGAUAUGUUUCAAUCGCUUGUGAUGAAGACACGGUACGAUCCUCUGCUUUGUUCAUUCGAGUACAGCCAAGAGUGUAGCUUGUUAUCGCUAUUUUGUUGUUUGCUUAUCCUUCGGCUCCUUUGAAGGUGGAGGUACCGGUGUCGGGGCCACAUCGUGGACCGUGAACAUUUCUCUCGCCACAUGUUGUUCCCCGUUGAUGGUCUUAAUCCCAUCCUUUGUCAGGAAUUUCAUCAUUUGAUGGAGGGUGUAUGGUACUGCUCUCAUGAAGUGUAUCCAUGGCACUCCAAGCAAGGCGUUGUACCUCAUGUCUCCCUCGAUGACAUGGAAUUUGGCAUUUUGGGUUGUGCCAGCCACAUUAACUAGGAGGGUGAUUUCCCCUUUCGUUGUUUUCUCAAGCAGUCCAAGCUGCUCUACCACCCUCGACCUGAUAAUGUUAGCCGAGCUACCUGGAUCCACAAUUACACGUUUAAUUUGAAAUGUAUUUACAAGAAAAGAGAUUACUAGUGCAUCGUUGUGAGGCUGAGACAAGGUCUCGAUGUCCUCGUCGCUGAAUAUGAGAGCAUCCUCGGGUAUGUAUCCCCGAGUUCGCUUUUCUCUUGUGAUGGAUAUUUUUGUUCUUCUCAUCAUGGGCUCCUACGGGGCAUCAAUGCCUCCCAAUAUCAUGUGGAUGACAUGUUGUGGCUCAUUCAUUUCGUACUUCUUGGCCGCCUCUCAUUUCUGGAAAUGAUUUUUGGCCCGGUCGCUAGUAAACUCUCGGAGAUGACCUUUACUGAGUAGUCUGGAUACUUCUUCUCAGUGUUGGUGGCUAUCCUCGGUCCAGUGGCCGUGCAUGUUGUGGAAUUCAGACACUAAAUUAUGAUUACUUUGCAAAGGAUCUGAUUGCACAGGCCUGGGCUACCUGGCGUCUUUGAUUUUACUGAUGGCGAACAUGAUGUCUGAUACAUCGAUAUUAAAGUUGUAUUCCGACAAGCGAGGUGCCUCCGUUGGCCCUGUAUGAUUAUUGAAUCUGGCUCUGUUGAUGAGUCCUUGAGGAUUCUGGCAUCGAUCCAUCCUUCGGUCAUUGCAGGGUAUGUUACGCCUCGGGGCAUUUCUCCUAUCGUCAGUAUAUGGCUGGUACCUUUCCUUGUUUGGCUUUGGCUCAUUUUCCAGAAAACUGCUUGGGUAUACCGAGCCCGGGGGGAUCCUAGUUGGUCGUCCUUGACCCUGAUUUUCGAUUGAUAUUGGUUGUGAAUGUCCGACCAGGUCACAAUGGGAUAUUCGAUCAAAUUCUUUUUCAGCUGCUUCGAAGCCACCGAGCUUUGUCCAUUCAGACCUUGAGUGAAGGCCUGUACUGCCCAGUCGUCGGAGACUGGUGGUAGUUCCAUUCAUUCCAUUUGAAAGCGAGAUACGAACUCUCGCAACAUCUCGUUCUCCCUCUCCUAGAUUUUGAAGACGUCUGACUUCCUAGUUGCUACUUUGAUGGCACCGGCAUGUGCCUUUAUGAAAGAAUCUGCCAGUAUGGCAAAUGAGUCUAUGGAGUUAGGAGCUAGGUUGUGAUACCACAUCAUGGACCCUUUCGAGAGUGUUUCCCCAAACCUUUUUAGCAAGACAGACUCGAUCUCGUCGUCAUUUAGGUCGUUUCCCUUCACUGCACAAGUGUAAGCAGUAACGUGCUCAUUGGGGUCUGAGGCCCAUUGUGUUUCGGAAGGUUCGGCAUACUAAACUUCUUCAGAAUGGGUUUUGGAGCUGCUUCUUCUAGGAACGACCUUUGUAUAAACUUCUUUGAAUCUACACCUUUCAGGAUCAGGGGUGCGCCCGGAAUUUGGUCGACCCAGGAGUUGUAGGUCUCGAUAUUUUUGUCGUUGGCUUCUAUCUUCUUCUCGCCCGAUUUGAUCCUCUUUGUAAGGUCCUAGAGCAUAUUUACGAUGGCGGGGUCGGUUGUCGACCCGUUGUUGCUUGAUCUCUCUGGUACCUGCUCGGCUGGGGGAACCGUCCCCGAUGCUACCGUGUUGGGAGUUUUCUGGUGACUUUGCAGCUGAGAAAUCACUAGCUGUUAUGCCUUAAACAUUUCAAAAAUAACGUGAUGGUUAACCUCCUGUUCUUCCCUAUCCGGGGUUUCCUAAGCUUCUUGUUGGUCUUCUUGGUACACGCUCUUGUAAGUGUGGGAGCUUAUAUCGACGUGUUGGGCAUCACGUGAGACCGCGUACAUGGGAAUUGGUUCUGGUGCGUUCUUAGGGUUUCGUGGUGGUACACCAACACCUGGAAUAUCCACACCAUUUUCUCCAUGGUUCUUAAGAUUGUUGUUCACCGAAUCAGGCAUUUUGGCCUGAAAUCAAAGAUCUUGGGCAAGAAAAAGUGUGAAAGAUAACUUAUGUUACGUAGUAAAACCAGCAAGAAAAUAAUCACUAUAAUUCUUAGCCCCAUGGUGGGCGCCAAACUAUUUACCGUAAAAAUGGUAACAACAAUUAAAUUUGAUUUAGUGGUUCUAAAAAUAUGUGAUAUAUUUUUAUGCUAGUUGUUAAGCAGUUGAUGCUAUGUGAAAGACUUUGAAAUGAGAUAAGAGCUUGAAAGCAAGGUGAUAACCAAACCGAAUGAUUAAUAAUCAGGGCCUCGGGCUUGCCUAUUUGAGGGUCUCGGGGUGGAGUCUGGAGCUCGGCUGGGAACUAUCAAGGGUAAUCGAUGGGUGACUAACAGUAGUAAUAAAUUAAUGACGGCUCUUUAUGAACAAUAAUAAGCAAUAAAUGAUGAACAAUAAAUAGAACACAAUAAGUAUAAGCAAUAAAUGAAGCAAUGAGAUCAAGAGAAUAUGUUAGAGAGCAGAGAGAAUGUUCUUGUGUGUUUUAUAUUGAGCAGCGGAUGUUUACAAAAUGCCAAGGAUCCCCUUUAUAUAUGAGGGGGGAAUCCAACAUAGUACAAAAAAGCAUUAAUUACAAAGAUAGGGAGAUGGUACAACUAGUUAAUGCCUUGAUUCAUUUUUGGACCAGUCCACUAGACUUUGUCAGCCAUAUUCAUGCGCCUUGGGAAUUUCUCACUUUUUCAUCAUAUCCGCCGAACUGUACUGUCUCGAGGCCGACGUUGAUAGCCCCUCAAAAGUCAAUCUCAACCAUACCUCGAGCCUCUGAAAACAUGCUUACGAGGCACCAUGAUGACGGAAAGUCGGACCUUUCGAUUUUACCAUAUACAAUUAUUUAUUUUAUUUCAGAGUCACCACUUGGGAUAAUUUUAUGGUAUCCCAAGUCACCGGUUUAUUUUAAAUCCCAAAUCGAGAAAAUUGACUCUAUUUUUGGUCCUCGAACACAGAAGACCAGGUAAGAAAUUUUGUUAACCUGGGAGAAGGUGUGAGGCACUCCCGAGUUCCGUGGUUUUAGCACGGUCGCUCAACUAUUAAUAUUUGGCCUAAUUAUUUGAUUUAUUACAUGUUUUAAACCUAUUGUUCAUUUUUAACUUUAUAACCGCUUUUAUUUAUUUAUGGAAUUAUUUCUGGAACAAGUGACAAUGUCGUACACUUGUCGUUUUGGUACACAUUGCAAACCGUGUCAUAUGAAAUGCACCCGCAAUUUAUGACAUGUUUAUUUUAUUAUUAUUAUUAUUCAAAGUUGUGGUCGGGUCACAUGAAAUGCACACCCCAAUUGGGGAUUAUGUAUCGUAACUAUGCCACGGGAGUCGUACCCAUAGCCACGAUGAUUUAUUAAUCACGCCUAAAGCAAGCUAUGAUGUUCAUGAUUUUUCUAAAACUAAUUUUGAGAUUAUUGCUUAUCGGCUCCUUUAUCCAAAAUUAUUCAUUUAUCCCAAGUAAUUAUCUGAACAACCAAACAGUCGAGAAUAGAUAAGUUUUCACCGUAAACCUUAUGGCCCAUAUAUUUCUUAUACACGUACAGAAUCCCCAACCCAAUUAACAUAACCAAUUCAACCAAGCCAAUCUUUCUAUUAGUCCAUUAAACCCUCUCACUACUCUAAUAUUUUAGCUAAUAAUAAAAAAACGAAUGAUCAAAUGCAUUUAUCAUAUUAUGGACUAAUUUCUCACAGAGAACCACGAAAACACAAAAGAUAAAUAAGUAAACAAUUUAAGAUACCCAUUUUAACAUGCUAGUUCAGAGAUAAACAGUGAUAGACAUAGACCAAAAAUUUAGCAUAAGAUUUAAGAGCAACAUUAUAUCCUUACGCAUAAAACAAAAAGAAAAUAUAGGAACCAGAGAAGGAAGGACCUUUUUAUUAGACUGAAUUUAAACUUUGUUUGUUGGACAAAUUGAAACUUAAAGAGCGACCGGGCCACGAACAAGCACCUCGAUCGGAGCUCGACUGACAAAAAAUAGAUCUCAUCUCAAAUGGACCUCUCAAACUCGGAUUUUGGCUGGUUUAAAUGGUGAAGGAGACAAGCUGAUUUUGGCUGAAUUCUGAAGGGCCUUUGAGAUUUUAGCCACUGCUUUUGUUAAGGAGGUGGGGUUACGGGGUGUUGUCUUUUUAGCUGGGUUUGGAGCUUUUUUUGGGGGGGAUGGGGGUUGUUGGC
Molecule: long non-coding RNA, 14203 nt
Filed under: Nicotiana tabacum (common tobacco)
Lineage: Eukaryota; Viridiplantae; Streptophyta; Magnoliopsida; Solanales; Solanaceae
Description: long non-coding RNA (NTAB_LNC009830)
Source: RNAcentral